Non-coding RNA from Pelobates cultripes (western spadefoot toad), 282 nucleotides. The record is from the annotation of a GenBank genome assembly. Lineage: Eukaryota; Metazoa; Chordata; Amphibia; Anura; Pelobatidae.
CAAAUAUUGAUCUCUAUCCAUCAAAACCACGUUGCCCCCUUUAUCAGAGGGUUUAAUUACAACUUCAACAGCUGUAGUUAAUUCUUUUAAGGCUCGUCGCUGAGGUAUAGUCAGAUUGUCAUGUCUAGUUCUGGAAAUAGGAAGAGGUUCAAUAGCUGUAGUGGUCAUUUGGAUGAAUAAAUCGACGCUCGACACUUCACUUAAGUUUGGAGUAAACCAACUCUCUGGUUGUAAGUUGGUAAGUGGAGCUAUAGAAUCCUGUUCAUCCAGCAGUGAUAAUAA